This 97-nucleotide signal recognition particle RNA is filed under the name Moraxellaceae bacterium. Its description in RNAcentral is "signal recognition particle sRNA small type". It matches the Rfam family "Bacterial small signal recognition particle RNA". From Rfam's summary of the family: The signal recognition particle (SRP) is a universally conserved ribonucleoprotein involved in the co-translational targeting of proteins to membranes. Archaeal SRP consists of a 7S RNA and homologues of the eukaryotic SRP19 and SRP54 proteins. Lineage: Bacteria; Pseudomonadati; Pseudomonadota; Gammaproteobacteria; Moraxellales; Moraxellaceae. The record is from RNAcentral. RNAcentral also lists the same sequence under 1 other name.
UAUCGGUCCUCCCGCAAUGACUUGCCGUAAACCCCGCCAGGCCCGGAAGGGAGCAACGGUAGCGGUUUAGUUGUGUGCCGGGAUGUGGCUGGUAAGG